Molecule: microRNA precursor, 74 nt
Filed under: Bos taurus (domestic cattle)
Lineage: Eukaryota; Metazoa; Chordata; Mammalia; Artiodactyla; Bovidae
Description: microRNA bta-mir-10183 precursor
Source: miRBase by way of RNAcentral
CUGUGUGGGGCUCGCUGUGGGUCCGAGGCGGGCGAGCGGUCCGGCGGGAGGGCGAUGGCGGGGGCCGCAGCAGG